GGCUACUGCUAUUGGAGUUCGAUUAAGCCAUGCGAGUCUAAGGGAUCUUCGGAUCCCUGGCGUAAUGCUCAGUAACACGUGGAUAAUCUACCCUCAGGUGGGGCAUAAACCCGGGAAACUGGGGCUAAUUCCCCAUAGAUACAGAUCGCUGGAAUGCUUCUGUAUUCAAAGCUCCGGCGCCUGAGGAUGGGUCUGCGGCCUAUCAGGUUGUAGUCAGGGUCAAGACCUGACUAGCCAGCGACGGGUAUGGGGUGUGAGAGCACUUGCCCAGAGAUGGUUUCUGAGACACGAAACCAGGCCCUACGGGGCGCAGCAGGCGCGAAAACUUCGCAAUGCGGGAAACCGUGACGAGGGAACUCCAAGUGUCUAUGCAUUGCAUAGACUGUUUUUUAGCCUAAAUAGCUAUUAGAGUAAGGGGUGGGCAAGACCGGUGCCAGCCGCCGCGGUAACACCGGCACCUCGAGUGGUAGCCACUAUUAUUGGGCCUAAAGCGUUCGUAGCCGGUUUGGUAAAUUCUUGGGUAAAUCGUACCGCUUAACGGUGCGGAUUCCGGGGACACUACCAGACUUGAGACCGGGGGAGAUCAGAGGUACUUGCGGGGGAGCGGUGAAAUGUUGUAAUCCCGCAGGGACCACCAGUGGCGAAGGCGUCUGAUCAGAACGGCUCUGACGGUGAGGAACGAAACCCUGGGGCGCAAACGGGAUUAGAUACCCCGGUAGUCCAGGGCGUAAACGCUGCUGACUUGGUGUUGGGGAUCCUACGAGGAUGUCCAGUGCUGGCGCGAAGGUAUUAAGUCAGCCGCCUGGGGAGUACGGUCGCAAGACUGAAACUUAAAGGAAUUGGCGGGGGAGCACUGCAACGUGUGGAGCGUGCGGUUUAAUUGGAUUCAACGCCGGAAAACUCACCGGGGGCGACGGUUAUAUGAAGGCCAAGCUGAUGACUUUGCCUGAUUUUCCGAGAGGUGGUGCAUGGCCGCCGUCAGUUCGUACCGUAAGGCGUUCUGUUAAGUCAGAUAACGAACGAGACCUCCGUCACCAUUUGCUAUUCUUCUCUCCGGAGAGGGAGCACUAUGGUGGUACC
RNAcentral lists this ribosomal RNA (1080 nucleotides) under uncultured archaeon. RNAcentral describes it as "bacterial SSU rRNA". It matches the Rfam family "Archaeal small subunit ribosomal RNA", at positions 22 to 1106 of the family's 1478-position model. The record is from RNAcentral.